Molecule: long non-coding RNA, 713 nt
Organism: Zonotrichia leucophrys gambelii
Lineage: Eukaryota; Metazoa; Chordata; Aves; Passeriformes; Passerellidae
Exons: 3
Source: RefSeq, a predicted model, not a curated record
GGAGUAAUUAGGUCUAGUGAUCUCCACCUGUGAAAUGCAGAGCUUGCUCACACAAGCUGAGAGCGGGAGCUUGAGGAAAGGCUGAGGAUCCAUGAAAGAACAACAUUGGAUUGGUGCUUUGGCUGUAAAGGAAUAACCUGGGUGUUCCACUUUGAAGUGAAACAGGCAGUCUCUUCCUGAAGAGCAGACCUUUGAAGGUCCCAGAUAUGCAGACCAAACACCAGCAGUGCACCAGUUACAGGAAGCCUUUUGCCGUGGGCACCUCAUCCGUGACAUGGAUCACAGUCUACAACUAAUUCUAGGGUUUAAUUUUUCCAGUUUCACUGCUCUUGCAACAUAACUUGUAAAUGUGCAGCUCAAAUCCUGUAACUAGAUAUCUAAACAGUGAGGAGACAGUCAUUUUCCAGUGAAGAAAAAACUUCUAAAAUGGUGGGAGUGGUGGCAUAAAGAUCCAGCUUUAUAUUAGGUCUAGUGUUCACACUGAAGCUCUUGUCUACUAUCUAGAAGAAAAUACAGCUUAUACAAAUCAUGCGUGUAUGAAAAUGGACACAUUGAGUCUCUCAGCAAACAAGAUUAUAAAGCAGGAAUCCUUCUGAUUUGGAUAACACUGUUAGGGCUGAUGUGAUUUCUUGGGGUUUCCUGUUCUAACAUACAUUGUAUUUGAAAAUGAAAACCAGCUGAGAGCAGUAUCACAUAAACCUAUUUUCCUGUUC